CCUGGUGACCAUAGCGGAGGGGAACCACCCGUUCCCAUUCCGAACACGGAAGUUAAGCCCUCCAGCGCCGAUGGUACUGCCCUUUGAAGGGCGGGAGAGUAGGUCAUCGCCAGGC
RNAcentral lists this ribosomal RNA (115 nucleotides) under Spirochaetota bacterium. Lineage: Bacteria; Pseudomonadati; Spirochaetota. The record is from RNAcentral.